UACGUAGGUGGCAAGCGUUGUCCGGAUUUACUGGGCGUAAAGAGCGCGCAGGCGGUCGUCCAAGUCGCGUGUGAAAGCCCCCGGCUCAACUGGGGAGGGUCACGCGAUACUGGUCGACUCGAAGGCAGGAGAGGGUAGUGGAAUUCCCGGUGUAGUGGUGGAAUGCGCAGAUAUCAGGAGGAACACCAAUAGCGAAGGCAGCUCGCUGGGACGGUAUUGACGCUAAGGCGCGAAAGCGUGGGGAGCAAACAGG
This 253-nucleotide ribosomal RNA is filed under the name uncultured bacterium. RNAcentral describes it as "partial 16S ribosomal RNA". It matches the Rfam family "Bacterial small subunit ribosomal RNA", at positions 524 to 776 of the family's 1533-position model. The record is from RNAcentral.